Molecule: non-coding RNA, 192 nt
Filed under: Clostridiales bacterium
Lineage: Bacteria; Bacillati; Bacillota; Clostridia; Eubacteriales
Also listed under: 3 other names
Description: 6S RNA
Rfam family: 6S / SsrS RNA
About the family: E. coli 6S RNA was the first non coding RNA to be sequenced, but its function was unknown until recently. It consists of 184 nucleotides that fold into an extended hairpin structure with a large single-stranded internal bulge.
Source: RNAcentral
AGGCCCCUGCGCGAUUUGACAGUCACCUUUUUUUAACCCACAAUUAGUUUUCGGGAUUCCGGAUGUUCCCAUACGGAGUUGCAGGCCUCCCGCCUCGGCGGAAGUUGGAAGCACAGAUGUAUGCGACAGGAGACCCACCUGCAGGAGAUGUGCAGGUUACUAAUCUGGUGACAUCGGUUGCGCGGGGUUUCU